UAGCCGUAAACGAUACUCGCUAGGUGUCGGCCACGGUGCGACCGUUGUCGGUGCCGUAGGGAAGCCGUGAAGCGAGCCACCUGGGAAGUACGGCCGCAAGGCUGAGACUUAAAGGAAUUGGCGGGGGAGCACCACAACGGGUGGAGCUUGCGGUUUAAUUGGACUCAACGCCGGGAAGCUCACCGGAUAAGACAGCGGAAUGAUUGCCGGGCUGAAGACCCUGCAUGACCAGCUGAGAGGUGGUGCAUGGCGUAGUCGUGU
Molecule: ribosomal RNA, 261 nt
Filed under: uncultured archaeon
Lineage: Archaea
Description: partial 16S ribosomal RNA
Rfam family: Archaeal small subunit ribosomal RNA
Source: RNAcentral